AUUUUUAUAGUAAAUUCAUUACUUAACAUUUUCAUUGUUAAAUUGUUUUCUAAACUAAAAAUU
This 63-nucleotide transfer RNA is filed under the name Hypoaspis linteyini. RNAcentral describes it as "tRNA-Glu". The record is from RNAcentral. Lineage: Eukaryota; Metazoa; Arthropoda; Arachnida; Mesostigmata; Laelapidae.